RNAcentral lists this transfer RNA (73 nucleotides) under Patescibacteria group bacterium. RNAcentral's name for it is "tRNA-Met". It matches the Rfam family "tRNA". From Rfam's summary of the family: Transfer RNA (tRNA) molecules are approximately 80 nucleotides in length. Their secondary structure includes four short double-helical elements and three loops (D, anti-codon, and T loops). Further hydrogen bonds mediate the characteristic L-shaped molecular structure. tRNAs have two regions of fundamental functional importance: the anti-codon, which is responsible for specific mRNA codon recognition, and the 3' end, to which the tRNAs corresponding amino acid is attached (by aminoacyl-tRNA synthetases). tRNAs cope with the degeneracy of the genetic code in two manners: having more than one tRNA (with a specific anti-codon) for a particular amino acid; and 'wobble' base-pairing, i.e. permitting non-standard base-pairing at the 3rd anti-codon position. The record is from RNAcentral.
CGCGGGGUAGAGCAAUUGGUAGCUCGCCAGGCUCAUAACCUGGAGGUCGUGGGUUCGAAUCCCACCCCCGCAA